GUGGGAGAGGUUCGUAACCAUCCCUCUAUAAAAAACUAGGGAAAA
This is a regulatory RNA element of Clostridium cadaveris, 45 nucleotides long. It matches the Rfam family "PreQ1 (pre queuosine) riboswitch aptamer". From Rfam's summary of the family: This family is a bacterial riboswitch that binds to the metabolite preQ1, an intermediate in the biosynthesis of the modified nucleoside queuosine from GTP. One example of this riboswitch is located in the leader of the Bacillus subtilis ykvJKLM (queCDEF) operon which encodes four genes necessary for queuosine production. PreQ1 binding to the riboswitch aptamer is thought to induce premature transcription termination within the leader to down-regulate expression of these genes. NCBI's taxonomy places the organism in Bacteria, Bacillati, Bacillota, Clostridia, Eubacteriales, Clostridiaceae. The record is from Rfam.